RNAcentral lists this long non-coding RNA (446 nucleotides) under Brassica napus (rape). RNAcentral describes it as "long non-coding RNA (BNAP_LNC025105)". Lineage: Eukaryota; Viridiplantae; Streptophyta; Magnoliopsida; Brassicales; Brassicaceae. The record is from RNAcentral.
GAUCAACAUCAUCUUCAUAAUCAUUGUGUAAUAAUAUUCCCGGAAAGUAAAAUAAUGAAAACAUCAUCAAUGAAGUUUGCUUUUGUUUUGUUCUUAGCCAUUACAUCGGGUAAAAAUCAUUGUUUUCAUAUGUAUUAAUUACUAUAUAUUGAUAAUAAUAUAUAUAUAAAUAUUGGUAUGGGUUGGUCAUUGGUGUUCGUAGUGAUGAGUAUUGUAGCAGUUCCAGAUAUUGAAGCAGAGCAGUUAGCACCGGAAGAAGCUCCUUACGUUUUGUUGCAUCGUGAAGGUUCUUCACCAAAAGAAUCUCCACAAAAGUUUACAUUUAGAUGCGACACACCUAGGUGUCAAAUAAUUUGUACGAUUCGAUGUUUUUGUAUAUGCUAAGCUUCAUCUCUUCGUUAAUAAUAUAUGUAUUCACUAAAAUAAAAUAAAAGACUUGAUUGUUG